Molecule: long non-coding RNA, 772 nt
Organism: Salvia splendens (bonfire salvia)
Lineage: Eukaryota; Viridiplantae; Streptophyta; Magnoliopsida; Lamiales; Lamiaceae
Exons: 2
Source: RefSeq, a predicted model, not a curated record
AGUAAACAAGCUCACAGAAUUAUGAGUUUUACUAGGAAGUCAUUUUGGACGAGGUUUCCAACUCUUCUCUUUUUUCACUGCGGUCGGGCGGGCAGCACACGCAUCCGCCACGUGUCCAUCUCAUCCCUUUCCCCCUUCUUUCUGGGUCACCGGUCAGCCCACUGGCUGCCCAUAAAAAGCCCCUCUCUCCCCCUCCACCUUUUCAUUCACAUUCCUCCCAUCAUUGCCUCUCUCUCUCUCUCUUCCCUCACUUCACUUUUUUUUUCCAUGGGAGAGAGGGAAAAGACUGCAGAGCAGAAAGCAAGCCUGGAGCUUCCUCAACUACCAGGCUUUGAUCAAGAUCAAGAAGAUGAAAGUCCGCGGCCACGCCUCGCGAAAUUGUCCUGAUUAGGCGCUAUCCUACCUGAGCUUUUUUUUUAUUUGUCAAUUUUUUUUUGACUUGUUGCCUUUUAUUUUUCUUUCUUCCUGUGUCUUCUUGACCUUGUAAGACCUUUUCUUGACCUUGUAAGACCCCGCCCGUUGCCGGGUCUUACUAAUCCCCGUUUCUUUUCGGAUGCCAUGUCAGACUCGUCUGAUGACGGACGUAUCCGCCUUCUCCCCCCUUCCCGGCCCGACUCAUCUUCUCCUUCCUUGUCUAUCCCUCCUGAGCUGUCCACACAUUACUAGAGUAAUAAAUUUAGAAUAAAAUUAACUCGAUUUUGCUUGUAAUUAAUGUAAUUCGAUACAUAUAUAUGUGUGUUUAUCGAAUAAAAAAUAUUGAUUGAACAGUGUA